GGAGAGGUCGCAUAGUGGUUUAGUGCACCUGCUUGGAGAGCAGGAGUGUUCGCAAGGACACCGCGAGUUCGAAUCUCGCCCUCUCCGCCA
Molecule: transfer RNA, 90 nt
Filed under: Candidatus Margulisiibacteriota bacterium
Lineage: Bacteria; Bacillati; Candidatus Margulisiibacteriota
Description: tRNA-Ser
Rfam family: tRNA
About the family: Transfer RNA (tRNA) molecules are approximately 80 nucleotides in length. Their secondary structure includes four short double-helical elements and three loops (D, anti-codon, and T loops).
Source: RNAcentral